This is an unclassified non-coding RNA of Cebus imitator (Panamanian white-faced capuchin), 298 nucleotides long. It matches the Rfam family "Metazoan signal recognition particle RNA". Rfam says of the family: The signal recognition particle (SRP) is a universally conserved ribonucleoprotein. It is involved in the co-translational targeting of proteins to membranes. The record is from Ensembl. Lineage: Eukaryota; Metazoa; Chordata; Mammalia; Primates; Cebidae.
GCUAGGCGCAGUGGUACAUGCCUGUAAUCCCAGCUACUUGGGAGGCUGGGGUGGGAGGAUCGCUUGAGCCCAGGAGUUCUGGGCUGUAGUGUGCUAUGCUGACCUGGUGUCUGCACUAAGUUCGGCAUCAAUGUGGUGACCUCCCGGGAGUGGGGGACCACCAGGUUGCCUAAGAAGGGGUGAAACGGCCCAGGUUAGAACAGAGCAGGUCAAAACUCCCGUGCUGAUCAGUAGCGGGACUGCGCCUGUGAACAGCCACUGCACUCCAGCCUGAGCAACACAGCGAGACCCUGUCUCU